Molecule: ribosomal RNA, 320 nt
Filed under: uncultured eukaryote
Lineage: Eukaryota
Description: partial 18S ribosomal RNA
Rfam family: Eukaryotic small subunit ribosomal RNA
Source: RNAcentral
CCCUUAGAUGUUCUGGGCUGCACGCGUGCUACAAUGGCGCUUGCAACAAGUCUUGCCAACCCGAUAGGGUGAGCGGAUCUUUGAAGAGGCGUCGUGAUCGGGACAGUUGAUUGCAAUUAUUCGACUCGAACGAGGAAUUCCUUGUAAUCGCGAUUCAUCAUAUCGCGCUGAAUACGUCCCUGCCCUUUGUACACACCGCCCGUCGCUCCUACCGAUUGAGCGAUCCGGUGAAUGUUUUGGACUGGCGUCAGAAACGGUUCGCUCCUGACACUACGAAAUUUUGUAAACCUUAUCGCUUAGAGGAAGGAAAAGUCGUAACA